This is a long non-coding RNA of Empidonax traillii (willow flycatcher), 1497 nucleotides long. RefSeq lists it as uncharacterized. The transcript has 3 exons. NCBI's taxonomy places the organism in Eukaryota, Metazoa, Chordata, Aves, Passeriformes, Tyrannidae. The record is from RefSeq and is a predicted model, not a curated record.
UGUGGGGCAGUAAGAUGCUCUUUUGUGCUAGAAGCUGCAUAUCUCUGAUAACCGAAGCUCACACCUCAGGGAGGUUCAAGUGAUUUUAUAUUCACUAUGCAUCAUUUUAGAAAUGCACCUCUAACUUUAUUCUUUUUGCCUCUCUCUGCUGUCUCUCCUAGCAUUAAGUCAGGAGUCUGGCUUACAGCUGGCUUAGCAUUGUUAUAAUUCUGAUUGGUCUGACUGUGCCUGUGUGCAUUUUAAGUUGUAUUAAGGUAAUUAGCGAUACAGGUGCAGUUUGCCAGCCAGUGGGAAUGCCUCUGUAUCAGUCUGGAGUAAAAUGUAGUGUGUAUCUCUAUGUCUCACGUCCCUAGAAGAGGGGCCGUGCCGGUCUGGCUGCACAGGGACAGCAAGAUCAGUGCCAGCUCGCUGCCUCCGCGAGGCCUGGAGGAUUUGGCAUCGUUUGCAUCUGCACUCUGAUGUCCACGCCAUGGCAGAGCCGCUCUGCAGCAGCAAAAAUAAGGACGGGCUCAGGCCUGCUGCCAUCGAAGGGCCCAUCUGUUGCAGAAAGGAAUCCUGUGUUUGAAUUAGUUUGUGAAUUGGAAUAUUGGCGUCCUAGGUGAACAUGCAUGCUUGGAAUAUAACUUUGGUUAGAGCUGACAGAUUUCAGAGGAGAUGGAAUAUCCUGUGUCAGAUCAUGUACAUGGCUCAGAGCUGCAGGACUUUGUGAGCUUCUCCAGGGGAGAGGUUUACAUCACUAGAGUUCUCACCUAUAAGCUGGGGGCUUGUCCAGGCACAGGACCCAGCUGCUUUUCGGGAGAGGAAAAUAAUCAGCCUUGUUUACGAGCUGAGAGGUUGGACUGGAGAUUGCAGAGGGUUCUUACCACCAGCACUUCUCUGUUUUUGUGGUAACCGAGGCAAAAUUGAAAAGCUGAGCUUCAGGUCUGUGUUUGUGGAACAAGAUGGAAGAAGGCCCAGCUUUCCUGAAUACACAGGAAGAGUAAAUAAAUGUGAUUAAGAUAGGCAGGUUCAGAGGAGAAAUUUGUCUUGAAAAGUUUUCCUUAUUUUGGGUUGUUAGCAAGGAGACCCACCAGUUCUGCUUGUUAUAAGUGGCUUGGAAAGAUGAUGCUUGGCCAUGGGUAGGAUUUGGGAUCUUGGCAAGUCAUUUCCCCCCUCCCCCACAUUUCUUCUGUUUGACUCUCAUCUGCAAACAUAUUGGGGCAGCCACUGCCUUUCAUACGGUUGCUCACAGCAUAGAACAGCAGAGCCCUAAUGUCAGGUGAACCCUCAGAGCCUCACAGACAUAUUUGAGCUCCUGUACUUGAUGUGAUCAGAAAUGGCAUUAUUGAUGGCUUGUGUAAGUUGCUCUCUUUGAGGGGGAGGUCUGGUGGCUGCAACCAACACAACCAGACAGGAAAAAAGCUUUUGAAAACUUCCCACCAAGCAGCUAUAUGCUCCAAGUGCAAAUCUUGAAGGUCUAGAAAUAAGGCCUUCCUUAGCUCCUUAGUUUACUGUGGC